CGCUGAUGGGAAUGUUUCAUUUUCCACUGUUUUCAUUGGCCAAAAUGUGCAUGGGAAAGUGCUACACGUCCUCUGAGGUUUCCCUAGUCCACUCAGUCUGGCCAAUCACAGCGGAGAACCCCUUUAAUUCUCUGCUUGUAACCCCUUCUACUACGGAACACAGGGAAAUAACAAUGUGCAUACAUGGGAUGGGAUUUGACCUUUAAAGCCUUCUUCAUGGGAAUACGUUUUUCACAAAGUGACAAAUCGCUUGGAUGAAAGUACAGACUCAGAGCUAGAAAAUGGUAUAUCAUACACUGCAGUUGAGGAACAAUGGGAAGGACAAUGACCCAAAGCACACCUCCAGGCUGUGUAAGGGCUAUUUGACCAAGAAAGAGUGUGAUGGAGUGCUGCAUCAGAUGACCUGGCCUCCACAAUCCCCCAACCUCAACCCAAUUGAGAUGAUUUGAGAUGAGUUGGACCGCAGAGUGAAGGAAAAGCAGCCAACAAGUGCUC
Molecule: long non-coding RNA, 495 nt
Filed under: Salmo salar (Atlantic salmon)
Lineage: Eukaryota; Metazoa; Chordata; Actinopteri; Salmoniformes; Salmonidae
Description: lncRNA (ENSSSAG00000093343.1)
Source: RNAcentral